This 2900-nucleotide ribosomal RNA is filed under the name Escherichia coli STEC_C165-02. RNAcentral describes it as "bacterial LSU rRNA". It matches the Rfam family "Bacterial large subunit ribosomal RNA". Lineage: Bacteria; Pseudomonadati; Pseudomonadota; Gammaproteobacteria; Enterobacterales; Enterobacteriaceae. The record is from RNAcentral.
UUAAGCGACUAAGCGUACACGGUGGAUGCCCUGGCAGUCAGAGGCGAUGAAGGACGUGCUAAUCUGCGAUAAGCGUCGGUAAGGUGAUAUGAACCGUUAUAACCGGCGAUUUCCGAAUGGGGAAACCCAGUGUGAUUCGUCACACUAUCAUUAACUGAAUCCAUAGGUUAAUGAGGCGAACCGGGGGAACUGAAACAUCUAAGUACCCCGAGGAAAAGAAAUCAACCGAGAUUCCCCCAGUAGCGGCGAGCGAACGGGGAGCAGCCCAGAGCCUGAAUCAGUGUGUGUGUUAGUGGAAGCGUCUGGAAAGGCGCGCGAUACAGGGUGACAGCCCCGUACACAAAAAUGCACAUGCUGUGAGCUCGAUGAGUAGGGCGGGACACGUGGUAUCCUGUCUGAAUAUGGGGGGACCAUCCUCCAAGGCUAAAUACUCCUGACUGACCGAUAGUGAACCAGUACCGUGAGGGAAAGGCGAAAAGAACCCCGGCGAGGGGAGUGAAAAAGAACCUGAAACCGUGUACGUACGAGCAGUGGGAGCCUCUUUAUGGGGUGACUGCGUACCUUUUGUAUAAUGGGUCAGCGACUUAUAUUCUGUAGCAAGGUUAACCGAAUAGGGGAGCCGAAGGGAAACCGAGCCUUAACUGGGCGUUAAGUUGCAGGGUAUAGACCCGAAACCCGGUGAUCUAGCCAUGGGCAGGUUGAAGGUUGGGUAACACUAACUGGAGGACCGAACCGACUAAUGUUGAAAAAUUAGCGGAUGACUUGUGGCUGGGGGUGAAAGGCCAAUCAAACCGGGAGAUAGCUGGUUCUCCCCGAAAGCUAUUUAGGUAGCGCCUCGUGAAUUCAUCUCCGGGGGUAGAGCACUGUUUCGGCAAGGGGGUCAUCCCGACUUACCAACCCGAUGCAAACUGCGAAUACCGGAGAAUGUUAUCACGGGAGACACACGGCGGGUGCUAACGUCCGUCGUGAAGAGGGAAACAACCCAGACCGCCAGCUAAGGUCCCAAAGUCAUGGUUAAGUGGGAAACGAUGUGGGAAGGCCCAGACAGCCAGGAUGUUGGCUUAGAAGCAGCCAUCAUUUAAAGAAAGCGUAAUAGCUCACUGGUCGAGUCGGCCUGCGCGGAAGAUGUAACGGGGCUAAACCAUGCACCGAAGCUGCGGCAGCGACACUAUGUGUUGUUGGGUAGGGGAGCGUUCUGUAAGCCUGCGAAGGUGUACUGUGAGGUAUGCUGGAGGUAUCAGAAGUGCGAAUGCUGACAUAAGUAACGAUAAAGCGGGUGAAAAGCCCGCUCGCCGGAAGACCAAGGGUUCCUGUCCAACGUUAAUCGGGGCAGGGUGAGUCGACCCCUAAGGCGAGGCCGAAAGGCGUAGUCGAUGGGAAACAGGUUAAUAUUCCUGUACUUGGUGUUACUGCGAAGGGGGGACGGAGAAGGCUAUGUUGGCCGGGCGACGGUUGUCCCGGUUUAAGCGUGUAGGCUGGUUUUCCAGGCAAAUCCGGAAAAUCAAGGCUGAGGCGUGAUGACGAGGCACUACGGUGCUGAAGCAACAAAUGCCCUGCUUCCAGGAAAAGCCUCUAAGCAUCAGGUAACAUCAAAUCGUACCCCAAACCGACACAGGUGGUCAGGUAGAGAAUACCAAGGCGCUUGAGAGAACUCGGGUGAAGGAACUAGGCAAAAUGGUGCCGUAACUUCGGGAGAAGGCACGCUGAUAUGUAGGUGAAGUCCCUCGCGGAUGGAGCUGAAAUCAGUCGAAGAUACCAGCUGGCUGCAACUGUUUAUUAAAAACACAGCACUGUGCAAACACGAAAGUGGACGUAUACGGUGUGACGCCUGCCCGGUGCCGGAAGGUUAAUUGAUGGGGUUAGCGCAAGCGAAGCUCUUGAUCGAAGCCCCGGUAAACGGCGGCCGUAACUAUAACGGUCCUAAGGUAGCGAAAUUCCUUGUCGGGUAAGUUCCGACCUGCACGAAUGGCGUAAUGAUGGCCAGGCUGUCUCCACCCGAGACUCAGUGAAAUUGAACUCGCUGUGAAGAUGCAGUGUACCCGCGGCAAGACGGAAAGACCCCGUGAACCUUUACUAUAGCUUGACACUGAACAUUGAGCCUUGAUGUGUAGGAUAGGUGGGAGGCUUUGAAGUGUGGACGCCAGUCUGCAUGGAGCCGACCUUGAAAUACCACCCUUUAAUGUUUGAUGUUCUAACGUUGGCCCCUGAUCGGGGUUGCGGACAGUGUCUGGUGGGUAGUUUGACUGGGGCGGUCUCCUCCUAAAGAGUAACGGAGGAGCACGAAGGUUGGCUAAUCCUGGUCGGACAUCAGGAGGUUAGUGCAAUGGCAUAAGCCAGCUUGACUGCGAGCGUGACGGCGCGAGCAGGUGCGAAAGCAGGUCAUAGUGAUCCGGUGGUUCUGAAUGGAAGGGCCAUCGCUCAACGGAUAAAAGGUACUCCGGGGAUAACAGGCUGAUACCGCCCAAGAGUUCAUAUCGACGGCGGUGUUUGGCACCUCGAUGUCGGCUCAUCACAUCCUGGGGCUGAAGUAGGUCCCAAGGGUAUGGCUGUUCGCCAUUUAAAGUGGUACGCGAGCUGGGUUUAGAACGUCGUGAGACAGUUCGGUCCCUAUCUGCCGUGGGCGCUGGAGAACUGAGGGGGGCUGCUCCUAGUACGAGAGGACCGGAGUGGACGCAUCACUGGUGUUCGGGUUGUCAUGCCAAUGGCACUGCCCGGUAGCUAAAUGCGGAAGAGAUAAGUGCUGAAAGCAUCUAAGCACGAAACUUGCUCCGAGAUGAGUUCUCCCUGACUCCUUGAGAGUCCUGAAGGAACGUUGAAGACGACGACGUUGAUAGGCCGGGUGUGUAAGCGCAGCGAUGCGUUGAGCUAACCGGUACUAAUGAACCGUGAGGCUUAACCUU